CCUACGGGUGGCAGCAGUGAGGAAUAUUCGUCAAUGGACGAGAGUCUGAACCAGCCAAGUAGCGUGAAGGAUGACUGCCCUAUGGGUUGUAAACUUCUUUUAUAAAGGAAUAAAACGAGGCACGUGUGCCUUUUUGCAUGUACUUUAUGAAUAAGGAUCGGCUAACUCCGUUCCAUCAGCCGCGGUAAUACGGAGGGUCCGAGCGUUAUCCGUAUUUAUUGGGUUUAAAGGGAGCGUAGAUGGGUUUUUAAGUCAGUUGUGAAAGUUUGCGGCUCAACCGUAAAAUUGCAAUUGAUACUGGCAGUCUUGAGUACAGUUGAGGUAGGCGGAAUUCGUGGUGUAGCGGUGAAAUGCGUAGAUAUAACGAAGAACCCCGAUUGCGAAGGCAGCUUACUAAAUUGUGACUGACAUUGAUGCUCGAAAGUGUGGGUAGCAAACAGGAUUAGAUACCCUUGUAGUC
RNAcentral lists this ribosomal RNA (460 nucleotides) under uncultured bacterium. RNAcentral describes it as "partial 16S ribosomal RNA". It matches the Rfam family "Bacterial small subunit ribosomal RNA", at positions 338 to 795 of the family's 1533-position model. The record is from RNAcentral.